AACGUAGGAGGCGAGCAUUAUCCGGAUUCACUGGGUUUAAAGGGUGCGUAGGUGGGUUGGUAAGACAGUGGUGAAAUCCCCGAGCUUAACUUGGGAACUGCCAUUGAUACUAUCAGUCUUGAAUAUUGUGGAGGUUAGCGGAAUAUGUCAUGUAGCGGUGAAAUGCUUAGAUAUGACAUAGAACACCAAUUGCGAAGGCAGCUGGCUACACAAAUAUUGACACUGAGGCACGAAAGCGUGGGGAUCAAACAGG
RNAcentral lists this ribosomal RNA (253 nucleotides) under uncultured bacterium. RNAcentral describes it as "partial 16S ribosomal RNA". It matches the Rfam family "Bacterial small subunit ribosomal RNA", at positions 524 to 776 of the family's 1533-position model. The record is from RNAcentral.